UAUCGCUUUUUUAGUCACUUUAUUUAUGAAUAUACCAUCAGUUGUACUACAGAGUCUGUAGUACAGACUUAACUUGCUAUAGAGUCGUAGACACAUACAAUUUUACAAACGAGGAUAAUCAAGAAUUCUUUGUUUUAAUGAGAUCAUCUCUGACGACGUGUAUCUUUUCAUCACAUUGAAAAAUACAUCUCGUGGGUAAGCCUGUUUGUGAGGACGCGACUUCCUAACCUCAAUGCGUCGUCGUUGAUAUUGAACAUUGGUUUUCUUGCUUGUUAAAUAAGAGACUUUGAUUCCUUGUGUGUUUUAACAAAGCGACAAUGUCGUACUUGUCGCGCAAGGAGAUGGACGAGCUAAGGCCGCAAAUCGAGAAGGCGGUCAGCAGGUGCUUGGGCUUCACCGAGUCAGCAAUCGUCACCACCGCCGUCAACUGCCUCGCCUCGGGAUACGACAGACGUAAAACCACUGACAAAUUGUCAGCACUCUUGGAUGAUAGGAAGGCAACCAAGGUAGCGGAAAAAAUAUAUGCUGUCUAUGAUGACAUGAAGGCUGCCCAAAAAGCAAAAAAGAGGUCAUACGAUGAUAGAAGUAAGGACAGAGAUAAAGAUAGAGAUUCCAAAAAGCUAAAGCUCAAAGAGGACGACUCAAAGGGCAAGGCUGUUAAUAAUUCCUCAAAAGAGAAGGGCGGCUUCAACAUCGGCAAUGUCAUGGCCAAUGCUCAAAAGCAGAUCGAAGAAAGGAAAAAGGCCCUUAAGGUAGUAAAGCCUGAUCUAGACUCUGUAAGGCCCUUAAUUAGAAAUUCAGAAUCUCUAGUUUCUUCUAUAGGCACAGUUUACAAUCAAGGUUUCUUGAAGAAGACCGAUUCCGAAAGGGCUAGAAAAAUUGCCGCUCUGCAGAUGCAAAUUCAAAGCAAAUUAAAAUCCGGGCUGCUUGGUAAUGCGCAGAGUGCAGACAAGCCCAAGCCCCUGAUUCUCGAUGAGUCUGGCAGGAUUGUUGACAUCACUGGUAAAGAAGUUCACUUGACCCAUGUGGUUCCAACGUUAAAAGCUAAUAUCCGUGCUAAAAAGAGGGAAGAGUUCAAGGCUCAGAUGCAAGACUCCAAAGGCACCGAAGAAUUUCAGGAAACACACUUCUUUGACAACCGCAUUGGCGUAAAGUCGUCGGUCAGAAAUAAACGUGCUCUGAAAUUUCACGAACCCGGUAAGUUUGUCCAACUGGCUGAGAGGAUACGCAUGAAAGCUCAAUUGGAAAAGUUGCAAAAUGAAAUCAGCCAGAUCGCGAGAAAAACCGGUAUUAGCGCCUCAACAAAGUUAGCUCUAAUAGCACCCAAAACCGAGGCUCUUAGCGAAGAUGUACCAAAUAUCGAAUGGUGGGACUCUGUGAUUCUCAACAAGGAGUACAAUAAUGAUUCCAACGACAUUAUGAGUUGCAUUAACAUCUCGACAAUCACAAAUUUGGUUGAGCAUCCAGCUCAGAUGAGACCACCGACGGAGCCGACCAAGCCAAUCGAGAUCCCUGUCUUUCUCACAAAGAAAGAGCGUAAGAAGCUCCGCCGGCAAAAUCGCCGAGAGGCCUGGAAGGAAGAACAAGAAAAGAUCCGUUUGGGUCUCGAGCCACCACCAGAGCCGAAACUCCGCAUCUCAAAUCUUAUGCGCGUUCUUGGUACCGAAGCCGUGCAAGAUCCCACAAAAAUCGAAGCUCACGUACGCCAGCAGAUGGCCAAGAGAUUGAAAGCUCACGAGGAUGCAAACGCUGCUCGAAGACUCACUGCCGAUCAGAGACGAGAGAAGAAAGCUCGUAAGCUGAAAGAGGACACGUCGCUGGGAGUCCAUGUGGCUGUGUUCCGCAUCCGCGACCUCAUUAACAAUGCCUCAAAGAAGUUCAAGGUCGACGCUAACGCCAAACAAUUAUACCUUACGGGCUGUGUCAUGCUUUUCCGUGAUUGCAAUGUCGUUGUGGUUGAAGGUGGUAUCAAACAGAUAGCCAAGUACAAGCGACUGAUGUUGCGUAGGAUCAAGUGGGAGGAAGACACGGUAAAAGAUAUGGAUGGCAAAGACGUUCCAAACAAAUGUGUGCUCGUUUGGGAGGGUAUGAGCAAACAGCGACACUUUGGUGAAAUAAAAUUCAAGACCAUUCCCAUAGAGAGAGAAGCUCGCGAGCACUUUAAGAAACACCACGUUGAACAUUACUGGGACUUGGCUUACAGCGGUGCUGUGUUAGAUAAUACCGACGAAGUGGCUAUCUAGAGUGUACAAUUAUCAGUCAUUUUAAUUUAAUUUCGAAUUUAGAUAUAGUAUGCAAAAAAUAAAUGAACCAAGUAUUUGUAUGCCAGGGUACAGCAUCUAUUUGCACAAGUUAGAAUUUUCUCGUUUCAGCUAUAUGAUCUAACUUGAAGCACUUGAGAAAGUAAAGAAGACGAUGCGCCGCUGGAUAAUCAAGGAGCCUAGUAAUCCACAGCCGUGAGAAGAUAAUGAGGGAGCAGAGUUUUGAAUUUUUUAUGCCCCUCAUCGAAGGCUUAUCAGUCACGAGACACACCAGAGAAAGAAAAAAAAGAGACAGAGAGAGAGAGAGAGAGAAACAUGAAGCCUCUCCCUCUAUCCUCGGCCUUUCUAAAGCGUGCAGUUGGCGUCACGCGCGCGUAGCAUGGAAAGGCAAGAGAGGAUUCCCAUCAAGGACGUUUUCUAGUAAAAUAUCUUUCCACUCAAUUUUUCCCUGUAAAUAUAUGCAAUUGUUUACCGAGCCCCUACCCAGAUCGCAACACGAUUAUUCAAUUUUGACGAUGACUAGUUACUAUCAGGUGGAUAUUUCUACCGUACUUUUUUAUUUUGUCUUUUUUUUCUCUUUUGUUUUUAAUUAAUUCACCGAAAAAUUAUGGCUGCACUUGAAUCGGCCAGUUUUGUGUAUAUUUGUAACG
RNAcentral lists this unclassified non-coding RNA (2911 nucleotides) under Copidosoma floridanum. Lineage: Eukaryota; Metazoa; Arthropoda; Insecta; Hymenoptera; Encyrtidae. The record is from RNAcentral.